GACGAACGCUGGCGGCGUGCCUAAUACAUGCAAGUAGAACGCUGAAGGAGGAGCUUGCUUCUCCGGAUGAGUUGCGAACGGGUGAGUAACGCGUAGGUAACCUGCCUGGUAGCGGGGGAUAACUAUUAGAAACGAUAGCUAAUACCGCAUAACAGUAGAUAUUGCAUGAUAUCUGCUUGAAAGGUGCAAUUGCAUCACUACCAGAUGGACCUGCGUUGUAUUAGCUAGUUGGUGAGGUAACGGCUCACCAAGGCGACGAUACAUAGCCGACCUGAGAGGGUGAUCGGCCACACUGGGACUGAGACACGGCCCAGACUCCUACGGGAGGCAGCAGUAGGGAAUCUUCGGCAAUGGACGGAAGUCUGACCGAGCAACGCCGCGUGAGUGAAGAAGGUUUUCGGAUCGUAAAGCUCUGUUGUAAGAGAAGAACGAGUGUGAGAGUGGAAAGUUCACACUGUGACGGUAUCUUACCAGAAAGGGACGGCUAACUACGUG
RNAcentral lists this ribosomal RNA (495 nucleotides) under uncultured bacterium. RNAcentral's name for it is "partial 16S ribosomal RNA". It matches the Rfam family "Bacterial small subunit ribosomal RNA", at positions 28 to 507 of the family's 1533-position model. The record is from RNAcentral.